RNAcentral lists this ribosomal RNA (497 nucleotides) under uncultured bacterium. Its description in RNAcentral is "partial 16S ribosomal RNA". It matches the Rfam family "Bacterial small subunit ribosomal RNA", at positions 28 to 507 of the family's 1533-position model. The record is from RNAcentral.
GACGAACGCUGGCGGCGUGCUUAACACAUGCAAGUCGAACGAACAGGCCCUGCUUUUGUGCCGUGCUCGAUUGGCGCGGAGGUGUGUGACACAUGAGUAUCCUCCCCUUGUCUUAGUGGGAACUUCACGGGAAUGGGGAUCAUACCGCAUAUAAUCUCUUGCAGCAUAGUGGUGAUUGGUAAAAGUCGGCUUUUGUGUAAGUUCUCGAUGCUUCCCAGCUGCAUUAGCUAGUUGGUAAGGUAACGGCUUAUCAAGGGAACGAUGCGUAGCCGACCUGAGAGGGUGAUCGGCCACACUGGAACUGAGACACGGUCCAGACUCCUACGGGAGGCAGCAGUAGGGAAUCUUCCGCAAUGGGCGAAAGCUUGACGGAGCAACGCCGCGUGAGUGAUGAAGGUCUUCGGAUCGUAAAACUCUGUUAUUAGGGAAGAACAAAUGUGUAAGUAACUAUGCACGUCUUGACGGUACCUAAUCAGAAAGCCACGGCUAACUACGUG